This 2050-nucleotide ribosomal RNA is filed under the name human gut metagenome. RNAcentral describes it as "bacterial LSU rRNA". It matches the Rfam family "Bacterial large subunit ribosomal RNA", at positions 1 to 1991 of the family's 2925-position model. The record is from RNAcentral.
GCAAGAUACCACGGGCGCACGGCGGAUGCCUUGGCACAGGGAGCCGAUGAAGGACGCGGCAAGCUGCGAUAAUCCCCGGCGAGGAGCACACAUCCUUCGACCCGGGGGUCUCCGAAUGGGCGAACCCAUCCGUAGCAGUACGGAUAUCCCGAUCCUGAACACAUAGGGGCCGGGAGGACAACCCGGGGAACUGAAACAUCUAAGUACCCGGAGGAGAGGAAAUCAAUCUCGAGACUCCCCGAGUAGCGGCGAGCGAAAGGGGACCGAUGGCCAAACCGUCGAGCGGGCAUACCCGGCAGGGGUUCCGCCGACGGGGUUGCAGGGCCGCGCAUCCGGGGGCUGCCGCCCCCGGGCGCAGGUCCGGCUGGGGAGCGGAACGGCAUGGGAGGGCCGGCCGCAGCGGGUGACAGCCCCGUACGCGAACCCAGACCGGACGGCGCGACGCGGUCCCUGAGUAGGGCCGGGCACGUGAAACCCGGUCCGAACCUGGGUGGACCACCAUCCAAGCCUGAGUACUACCCUGUGACCGAUAGCGCACCAGUACCGUGAGGGAAAGGUGAAAAGCACCCCGGGAGGGGAGUGAAACAGUACCUGAAACCGUGCGCCCACGAGCAGUCGGAGCACCCUUGUGGUGUGACGGCGUGCCUUUUGUAGAAUGAGCCAGCGAGUCACGAUGCGCGGCGAGGUUAAGCUAUGAAGCGAGCCGCAGCGAAAGCGAGUCUUUAAGACGGCGACAUCAGUCGCGCGUCGUGGACGCGAAGCCGGGUGAGCUACCCAUGGGCAGGCUGAAGCGGGGGUAAGACCCCGUGGAGGGCCGAACCCACUUCGGUUGAAAACGGAGGGGAUGACCCGUGGGUAGGGGUGAAAGGCCAAUCAAACCCGGAGAUAUCUCGUUCUCCCCGAAAUAGCUUUAGGGCUAGCGUCGCGCGUUCACCGCCGGAGGUAGAGCACCGGAUGGACGAGGGGGCUUCGCCGCCUACCGAAUCCAACCGAACUCCGAAUGCCGGCGGCCCAGAGCGCGGCAGUCAGAGCAUGUGGGCUAAGCUGUGUGCUCGAGAGGGAAACAGCCCGGACCGCCCGCUAAGGUCCCCAAGUUCCAGCCGAGUGGCAAAGGAUGUGCGUCCGCCCAGACAACCAGGAUGUUGGCUUAGAAGCAGCCAUACAUUCAAAGAGUGCGUAACAGCUCACUGGUCGAGUGGACAUGCGCCGACAAUACACGGGGCUAAGCUGGACACCGAAGCGGCGGGAUUUUAUCUAUAUAGAAUCGGUAGGGGAGCUUCCCAUGGGCGGUGAAGCCGCCGGGCGACCGGCGGUGGAGCGCAUGGGAGUGAGAAUGCUGGCAUGAGUAGCGAGAGACGAGAGAGUAACUCGUCCGCCGUGAACCCGAGGUUUCCUGGGCAAGGCUAAUCCUCCCAGGGUCAGUCGGGGGCUAAGGCGAGGCCGGGAGGCGUAGCCGACGCGCAGCAGGCAGACAUUCCUGCACCGCGCACGCGGCGCUACGACCGACGGGGCGACGGAUGGGGGUGGCUCGGCGGGGUUCUGGACGUCCCCGUGAUGGAGCGCGGCCCGCGGACCAGGGAAAUCCGGUCCGCACGAGGGCGAGGCUCCGGACGAAGCGAUCAAGCGAAGCGAGUGAGCCCGAGGUCCCUAGAAAAACCCCUAGGCAGGCGCGUGCGCGCCCGUACCGCAAACCGACACAGGUGGGUGGGUAGAACAUACCGAGGCGAUCGGGUCAACCAUGGUCAAGGAACUCGGCACAAUGGCCCCGUAACUUCGGGAGAAGGGGUGCCCGCGCGUACGUGAACCGGCUUGCCCGGGGAGCGGAGGCGGGCCGCAGUGGAGAGGCCCAAGCGACUGUUUACCAAAAACACAGGACUCUGCAGAAGCCGCAAGGCGACGUAUAGGGUCUGACGCCUGCCCGGUGCCGGAAGGUCACGCGGAGGAGUUAGCGCAUCGCGCGAAGCCCCGAAGCCAAGCCCCGGUAAACGGCGGCCGUAACUAUAACGGUCCUAAGGUAGCGAAAUUCCUUGUCGGGUAAGUUCCGACCUGC